UACGUAGGGUGCGAGCGUUGUCCGGAAUUAUUGGGCGUAAAGAGCUCGUAGGCGGCCUGUUGCGUCCGCUGUGAAAUCCCAGGGCUCAACCCUGGGCGUGCAGUGGAUACGGGCAGGCUGGAGGCAGGCAGGGGAGAACGGAAUUCCCGGUGUAGCGGUGAAAUGCGCAGAUAUCGGGAGGAACACCAAUGGCGAAGGCAGCUCGCUGGAACGGUACUGACUCUGAGGCGCGAAAGCGUGGGGAGCGAACAGG
This 253-nucleotide ribosomal RNA is filed under the name uncultured bacterium. RNAcentral describes it as "partial 16S ribosomal RNA". It matches the Rfam family "Bacterial small subunit ribosomal RNA", at positions 524 to 776 of the family's 1533-position model. The record is from RNAcentral.